Molecule: non-coding RNA, 878 nt
Filed under: Pseudocleopatra dartevellei
Lineage: Eukaryota; Metazoa; Mollusca; Gastropoda; Paludomidae
Source: RNAcentral
AAAAGACUUGGUUCUGAUCUUUAUUAACAGCAUUAGUGAGGAAUUACACAUGGUUUUUAUUGAUUGGGGUGAGGGGGUAAACUAAAAAGAUCAAAUUCUCUUUCUUCUAUUUUAGCUUCUCUAAAAUAUUAUUUAUAAUACUAUAUUUUAAAAGCCUCACUAACACCAGUGUUGAAUAUUAAUUAACUUAUAUGUAAAUACGAUUUAGCCUAGCUAUACUAGACCUGGUAAACUAGGUGCCAGCAGCCGCGGUUACACCUAGAGGUCAAGCUGUUAAAAUUAGGUAAUAAAGGUAGUUAAGCAAUAACUAACAGCAUAAUAAAAACACCAUAGAGGUAAAAUUCUCACAGGUGCUAUAAAACCCCCACAAAACAUUUCGCUGACGCUACGAAAUUUAGAGUAAAAACUGGGAUUAGAUACCCCACUAUUUCUAACCGUAAAUUAAUUAAUUUACCAGAGCACUACGAAUUAUACAUUUAAAACUCAAAGAACUUGGCGGUGCUUUAGACUCCUCAGGGGAACCUGUUUCAUAAUCGACAGUCCACGUUAAAUUUUCCUUUCUUAGUAAUCAGUAUGUAUACCGUCGUCGUCAGGUAACUUUUCAGAAUUUUUAAAGUUAGCAAUAAAAUUCGUAAUAAAUUUUUACGUCAGAUCAAGGUGCAGCCCAUAGAAAGGAGAGAAUGGGUUACAAUUAAAAAUGAUAAUUACGAAAAGAAGCCUAAACAGACUUCUAGAAGGAGGACUUGAAAGUAAGCACAGUAAUUAUAAAGACUGUCUGAAUUAUGCUCUGAGGCGUGCACACAUCGCCCGUCGCUCUCGUUGAAAAAUGAGAUAAGUCGUAACAUAGUAGGGGUAAUGGAAGUUGCCCCUAACUAGCA